Molecule: long non-coding RNA, 2882 nt
Filed under: Gossypium barbadense (sea-island cotton)
Lineage: Eukaryota; Viridiplantae; Streptophyta; Magnoliopsida; Malvales; Malvaceae
Description: long non-coding RNA (GBAR_LNC022065)
Source: RNAcentral
UGCAGCCAACCGCUCAGCCUUCUGGAGAGAUUUGCUCUGGUGUGUCAACUGCACCUACAAGUCCUUGUGGCUCUUCUCCAACAUUUGGCCAAACAUCUGUAAAUCCUCAUUCCAUCACAAGUACCAAUCCAUUUGGUGUAUCUAAUUCCCCGGUAUUUGGAACAGUAGGCACAUUUGGAGCAUCAAGCGCACCAGCUUUUGGCACUUCUCUCACUCAUGCUUUUGGAGCAUCAAAUUCUGCUUUUGGCACUUCCAAGACUCCUGUUUUUGGAGUGUCAAAUUCUGCUUUUGGCUUUUCCGACACUCCUACUUUUGGAUCAUCUUCUACUCCUUCAUUCAGCUCUGGGUCUAGCCCUGCUUUUGGCCAAUCAACACCAGCAUUUGCCAGUAGUCCUUUUGGAACAACUACAAUUGGAGCACAGAGUUCUUUUGGUGAGUAACCAAGCCUACUUGAUCAUAGACUUCGAAACUACUUGUACAGUUAGGCAGAAAUAUAUAUUUUCAUGGGCCUUACAUGAUUUAAGGUCAAGGGAGUUCGUAUACGUAUACAUAUAUAUAUAUUAUUUAAAAUUCUUUGAGUUCUCAUGUAGGACCCCAAUCUUCUGCACCAGCAUUUGGACAGUCAACUUUUGGGGCUCAACGUGGGGGAAGAAGAGUUGCUUCUUACACACCUACAAUUGACGCUGAUAGUAGCAUUGGUACACAGAUGUUCGAGUCAAUUUCAGCUAUGCCUGUUUACAAAGAUAAAAGUCAUGAGGAGCUGAGAUGGGAGGAUUAUCAAUUAGGAGAUAAAGGUACCUUUGUAAAAUAUUAAGAAAACCUGGAAGUUAUUCAUUAUUCUUUCCCAUUCAUUAUCGACUAACUUGCUGUAAUAAUUUGACUGUCAGUUGGACUGCAGCCAACCGCUCAGCCUUCUGGAGAGAUUUGCUCUGGUGUGUCAACUGCACCUACAAGUCCUUGUGGCUCUUCUCCAACAUUUGGCCAAACAUCUGUAAAUCCUCAUUCCAUCACAAGUACCAAUCCAUUUGGUGUAUCUAAUUCCCCAGUAUUUGGAACAGUAGGCACAUUUGAAGCAUCAAGCGCACCAGCUUUUGGCACUUCUCUCACUCAUGCUGUUGGAGCAUCAAAUUCUGCUUUUGGCACUUCCAAGACUCCUGUUUUUGGAGUGUCAAAUUCUGCUUUUGGCGUUUUCGACAGUCCUACUUUUGGAUCAUCUUCUACUCCUUCAUUCAGCUCUGGGUCUAGCCCUGCUUUUGGCCAAUCAACACCAGCAUUUGCCAGUAGUCCUUUUGGAACAACUACAAUUGGAGCACAGAGUUCUUUUGGUGAGUAACCAAGCCUACUUGAUCAUAGACUUCGAAACUACUUGUACGGUUAGGCAGAAAUAUAUAUUUUCAUGGGCCUUACAUGAUUUAAGGUCAAGGGAGUUCGUAUACGUAUACAUAUAUAUAUUAUUUAAAAUUCUUUGAGUUCUCAUGUAGGACCCCGAUCUUCUGCACCAGCAUUUGGACAGUCAACUUUUGGGGCUCAACGUGGGGGAAGAAGAGUUGCUUCUUACACGCCUACAAUUGACGCUGAUAGUAGCAUUGGUACACAGAUGUUCGAGUCAAUUUCAGCUAUGCCUGUUUACAAAGAUAAAAGUCAUGAGGAGCUGAGAUGGGAGGAUUAUCAAUUAGGAGAUAAAGGUACCUUUGUAAAAUAUUAAGAAAACCUGGAAGUUAUUCAUUAUUCUUUCCCAUGUUCAUUAUCGACUAACUUGCUGUAAUAAUUUGACUGUCAGUUGGAUUGCAGCCAACCGCUCAGCCUUCUGGAGAGAUUUGCUCUGGUGUGUCAACUGCACCUACAAGUCCUUGUGGUUCUUCUCCAACAUUUGGCCAAACAUCUGUAAAUCCUCAUUCCAUCACAAGUACCAAUCCAUUUGGUGUGUCUAAUUCCCCGGUAUUUGGAACAGUAGGCACAUUUGGAGCAUCAAGCGCACCAGCUUUUGGCACUUCUCUCACUCAUGCUUUUGGAGCAUCAAAUUCUGCUUUUGGCACUUCCAAGACUCCUGUUUUUGGAGUGUCAAAUUCUGCUUUUGGCUUUUCCGACACUCCUACUUUUGGAUCAUCUUCUACUCCUUCAUUCAGCUCUGGGUCUAGCCCUGCUUUUGGCCAAUCAACACCAGCAUUUGCCAGUAGUCCUUUUGGAACAACUACAAUUGGAGCACAGAGUUCUUUUGGUGAGUAACCAAGCCUACUUGAUCAUAGACUUCGAAACUACUUGUACAGUUAGGCAGAAAUAUAUAUUUUCAUGGGCCUUACAUGAUUUAAGGUCAAGGGAAUUCGUAUACGUAUACAUAUAUAUAUUAUUUAAAAUUCUUUGAGUUCUCAUGUAGGACCCUGAUCUUCUGCACCAGCAUUUGGACAGUCAACUUUUGGGGCUCAACGUGGGGGAAGAAGAGUUGCUUCUUACACGCCUACAAUUGACGCUGAUAGUAGCAUUGGUACACAGAUGUUCGAGUCAAUUUCAGCUAUGCCUGUUUACAAAGAUAAAAGUCAUGAGGAGCUGAGAUGGGAGGAUUAUCAAUUAGGAGAUAAAGGUACCUUUGUAAAAUAUUAAGAAAACCUGGAAGUUAUUCAUUAUUCUUUCCCAUGUUCAUUAUCGACUAACUUGCUGUAAUAAUUUGACUGUCAGUUGGACUGCAGCCAACCGCUCAGCCUUCUGGAGAGAUUUGCUCUGGUGUGUCAACUGCACCUACAAGUCCUUGUGGUUCUUCUCCAACAUUUGGCCAAACAUCUGUAAAUCCUCAUUCCAUCACAAGUACCAAUCCAUUUAGUCUAAAAUCUCCAUCCUUCAGCAGUGUAGGCUUUGCAACCUCGACUACUACCUCAAACCCUUCCCAA